GGGGGUAAAUUAAUAAUUUAAAUUAUAAUAAAAAAAAUUUUAAUAUUAAAAAAAAAUAAUGGGGGUUAGAGUAUUUUUAAUAGAAAAAAUUAGUAGUUUUAUAGUUAAUUAUUACUGUAAAGGAAAUUAUAAAUAAUUGAAAAUUAAUUAAAAAAAAAGUAAAUUUAAUUUGUUGUAUCUUGUGUAUCAGAGUUUAUUAAAUAUUAGUAAUUUAUUUAAAUAAAUCUCGAAUUUAAAAGAGUUAAUUAAUUAAAAAAGUUAAUGUUGAAUAAUUAUUUUAAAUAAUUAAUUAGAAAUGAAAUGUUAAUCGUUUUUAAAUAUAUCUAGUUUUUUUAGAAAAAAAUUUAAUUUUAAAUUAAAAUAAUUUUAUAAUUUUUUAAUUAAUUAUAAAAAUUUAAAAUUUAAUAUUUUAGGGGAUAAGCUUUAAAUUAAAAUUUUAUAAUUAAUAAAUAAAAAUUAAAAUUUUUAAAAUUUAUAUUGUUUAAAAAUUAUAAUUUAUUAUAAAAAAUUUUAAUUAAAAUAAAAUUUAAAUUAAAUUUAAUUUUUUAUAAAAAAAUGAUUUUUAAUUAAUAAAAAUUAAUAAUAAUGAUAAAAUUAGUAUAUUAUAAUUAAUAAAAAAAAAAUUAGUUAAAAUUAAAUUAAAGGAAUUCGGCAAAAUUUUAUAUUCACUUGUUUAUCAAAAACAUGUCUUUUUGAAAAUAAUUUAAAGUCUAAUCUGCCCACUGAUAUAAUUAUUAAAGGGCUGCAGUAUAUUGACUGUACAAAGGUAGCAUAAUCAUUAGUCUUUUAAUUGAAGACUUGUAUGAAAGAUUUGAUGAAAUAUUAACUGUCUCUGAUUUAUUUAUAUAAAAUUUAAUUUUUUAGUUAAAAAGCUAAAAUAAAAUUAAAAGACGAGAAGACCCUAUAGAGUUUUAUAAUUAUAAUAAUUAAUAAAUAUCUUAUUUAUAUAUAAAUAAAGAAAAAUUAUUUUAAUUAUUUUAUUGGGGUGAUAAAAAAAUUAAAAAAACUUUUUUUUAUUUAAACAUAAAUAAGUGAAAGAAUGAUCCAUUAAUAAUGAUUAUAAGAAAAAAUUACCUUAGGGAUAACAGCGUAAUAUUUUUUUUUAGUACAAAUAAAAAAAAAAGUUUGCGACCUCGAUGUUGGAUUAAGAUAAAAUUUAAAUGCAAAAGUUUAAAAUUUUGAUCUGUUCGAUCAUUAAAAUCUUACAUGAUCUGAGUUCAAACCGGUGUAAGCCAGGUUGGUUUCUAUCUUUAAUAAAAAUAAAUAUUUUAGUACGAAAGGAUCAAAUAUUUGAAAUAAUUUUAAUUAUAAGAAUAUUAAUAAAUUUAUAUAAA
This 1334-nucleotide ribosomal RNA is filed under the name Nymphalis c-aureum. Its description in RNAcentral is "16S ribosomal RNA". The record is from RNAcentral. Lineage: Eukaryota; Metazoa; Arthropoda; Insecta; Lepidoptera; Nymphalidae.